This 497-nucleotide ribosomal RNA is filed under the name uncultured bacterium. RNAcentral describes it as "partial 16S ribosomal RNA". It matches the Rfam family "Bacterial small subunit ribosomal RNA", at positions 28 to 507 of the family's 1533-position model. The record is from RNAcentral.
GACGAACGCUGGCGGCGUGCCUAAUACAUGCAAGUUGAGCGCUGAAGGUUGGUACUUGUCCCGACUGGAUGAGCAGCGAACGGGUGAGUAACGCGUGGGUAAUCUGCCUUUGAGCGGGGGACAACAUUUGGAAACGAAUGCUAAUACCGCAUAAAAACUUUAAACACAAGUUUUAAGUUUGAAAGAUGCAAUUGCAUCACUCAAAGAUGAUCCCGCGUUGUAUUAGCUAGUUGGUGAGGUAAAGGCUCACCAAGGCGAUGAUACAUAGCCGACCUGAGAGGGUGGUCGGCCACAAUGGGACUGGGACAAGGCCCAAACUCCUACGGGAGGCAGCAGUAGGGAAACUUCGGCAAUGGACGAAAGUCUGACCGGGCAACGCCGCGUGGGUGAAGAAGGUUUUCGGAUCGUAAAAAUCUGUUGGUAGAGAAGAACGUUGGUGGGAGUGAAAAGCUCAUCAAGUGACGGUAACUACCCAGAAAGGGACGGCUAACUACGUG